GGGGGGGGAUCUCUGGGACUUGGCAGCAUUGUUGGUACCAGACAGGCUCUUUUGACACUGAUGAUCUGAGAUUUUUCACACACAUGAAUAGUUUACACAGAAAAGCUUUUUUUUUUUUUUUUUUUUUAAUAUUAAAAAUUCUGUUUAGAUGAGGCCAUCCACCAAAUGUCAGUGAUCAGGUAAUGAGGGCAUUAGUCAGAGAAGUAACCAAGAUGCCAAGGAUCAUUUUCAACAUGAUGAUGAGCAGUGUUGGGUUUUCCAGUCAGUGUAGCUCUUUGUCACAAGGCCAAACAUGUAUUUUGGUAAACUCCAAAUAGAACUUCAUAGUCUCUGGGCUAUGGUUGUCCUGUGAACGGUUUCUCCCAUCUUUGUUGUGUAUCUCUUCAGCGCCUUCAGAUUUUCCCUUGCUUCUCCGGCUAAUGUCCUCUUUACUUGGUCACUGAUAUUUGGUGGCGUUACAGUUCUACCGUAUUCCUUCCGAUGUUUAAAUAACAGUUUUAAUGGCGGUCUGUAUAUUCUUUCAAAAAAUGAACAAACCAUGAAUGAUACCUUUUCAGAACUUUGUCUUGGACUUGUCUUGAUAUCUCCUUGGUCUUUGUGAUGCUCUUUGAGAGACGCUCUUCCGAGAACAGGUGUAUUUCUAUUAGAAUUAACUGCACACCGGUGGACUGAAUUCAACUAGGAAGAGAAGUCACAUUGCAGCAGUCACACAGCUGCUCAGAAAUUGAGACGGAAAACAUGUGAGAGGGCGAAGCGAAAAAGCCUGAGAGUGAGAGCUACAUCGAGGGAAAGGAAGUGGAAAUGCAUGUGGGUGAGUGUGUUAGGGCUGUGAGGGAGGACCGGCUUACUCUGGUUUGCGCUGCUUUUUCGACUUGUCCCUGUGCCAGGGGGUUACAGAGGGGAUGGCAGCCCUGCCGGCUUCAGCGUGUUGUUGUUUGCCCUUUAAGGAGAAUCAGUGUCUGGGGGAUGAAAUGGCUGUGUGAACAUUGGUCCCCUGCCAGAUUUUUGGAAAACAAGGUGAUUUAGUUACUACUGAAAAUGAGACACUCCUUGCCUUUUGCAGCAUUCAUAUCUACACCAUCGUGCUCAUCAUACACAGCUUAUACGCUCUACAAUACCAAAGUGCUUGAUGAGAUCCAUAAGAUUUUUGUUAAGCGACAGACAUAAACAAAUGACGUCAUGCAAUAUAGCAGAAGGUCAGACUAUCAGAAACACACUGCGCCUCAU
Molecule: long non-coding RNA, 1227 nt
Organism: Ictalurus punctatus (channel catfish)
Lineage: Eukaryota; Metazoa; Chordata; Actinopteri; Siluriformes; Ictaluridae
Source: Ensembl